GCACUUGGCUUAAGGGGCUGCGCGCUCCCUGCCUGCUGCUGGGCGGAGGGAAGGCGGCAAGAGCUGCGGCGCCCCUGGAAGAGCUUCCAGAAACCCUGCGCUGUGGGAUAGAGGAAUGAGGUUCAGAAAGGGGCAGGGAGUUGCCCGCAGCCUCACCGCACGUCUUCAGCCCGACCGUUGUCCUGACCUCUCUGUCCCGUCCCCUGCCCAGUCUCACCAUGGCCUUCUGGACACAGCUGAUGCUGCUGCUCUGGAAGAAUUUCAUGUAUCGCCGGAGACAGCCGGUAACGCCCCAGUGUGAGACCAGGGCCGGGUGGGCAGGCAGCCCCCACUGUCCCCCACCAUCUCCCACCUAUUCUCCCCCAGGUCCAGCUCCUGGUCGAAUUGCUGUGGCCUCUCUUCCUCUUCUUCAUCCUGGUGGCUGUUCGCCACUCCCACCCGCCCCUGGAGCACCAUGAAUGUGAGCCCCCCCAGGGACCAGGCACUUUGUGUGUGUAGGGGAAGGCAGAUGGCUCACCCGUGCACAGGAAUCCCCCGUG
RNAcentral lists this small RNA (539 nucleotides) under Pan troglodytes (chimpanzee). RNAcentral's name for it is "retained intron". The record is from RNAcentral. Lineage: Eukaryota; Metazoa; Chordata; Mammalia; Primates; Hominidae.